CUCUUAUCGAGAGUUGGGCGAGGGAUUUGGCCUUUUGACCCCAACAGCAACCGACCGUUAAUACCACUGUGAAGUGGGGCGCAGCAAGUAAGCGCCAAGACAAUUGUCUUAUAGGGCACGGUGCUAAUUCCAUCAGACGUAUGUGCUGAGAGAUAAGAG
RNAcentral lists this non-coding RNA (159 nucleotides) under Bacillus pumilus. RNAcentral describes it as "SAM-I sequence". It matches the Rfam family "SAM riboswitch aptamer (S box leader)". Rfam says of the family: The SAM riboswitch is found upstream of a number of genes which code for proteins involved in methionine or cysteine biosynthesis in Gram-positive bacteria. The record is from RNAcentral. Lineage: Bacteria; Bacillati; Bacillota; Bacilli; Caryophanales; Bacillaceae.